UCGCAAGACAGUGGCGCACGGGUGAGUAACACGUAGCUUAUCUGCCCCAAAGCGCGGGAUAACGCUCCGAAAGGAGUGCUAAUACCGCAUAAGCUCCCGGUCUCUAGAGGAUUGGGAGAAAAGGCGCAAGUCACUUUGGGAGGAGGCUGCGGCCCAUCAGGUAGUUGGUGAGGUAAUGGCUCACCAAGCCGACGACGGGUAGGGGACCUGAGAGGGUGAUCCCCCACACUGGGACUGAGACACGGCCCAGACUCCUACGGGAGGCAGCAGUGAGGAAUAUUGCCCAAUGGGCGCAAGCCUGAGGCAGCGACGCCGCGUGGGUGAUGAAGGCCUUCGGG
RNAcentral lists this ribosomal RNA (338 nucleotides) under uncultured bacterium. RNAcentral describes it as "bacterial SSU rRNA". It matches the Rfam family "Bacterial small subunit ribosomal RNA", at positions 85 to 422 of the family's 1533-position model. The record is from RNAcentral.